CGACAUUUUCAAGGAUGAGUACAACUAUUUUUAUGACAAGUGGUUACUGCUGUCUGCCCUAGUGUAGUGAUUACUGAUGUCUGACCUAGUGCCUAGUGUAGUGGUUACUGCUGUCUACCCUAGUGUAGUGGUUACUGCUGUCUACCCUAGUAUAGUGGUUACUGCAGUCUGCUCUAGUGUAGUGGUUACUGCUGUCUACCCUAGUGUAGUGGUUACUGCUGUCUACCCUAGUGUAGUGGUUACUGCUCUCUGCUCUAGUGUAGUGGUUACUGCUGUCUGCUCUAGUGUAGUGGUUACUGCUGUCUGCCCUAGUGUAGUGGUUACUGCUGUCUACCCUAGUGCCUAGUGUAGUGGUUACUGCUGUCUGCUCUAGUGUAGUGGUUACUGCUCUCUACCCUAGUGUAGUGGUUACUGCUGUCUGCACUAGUGUAGUGGUUACUGCUGUCUGCCCUAGUGUAGUGGUUACUGCUGUCUACCCUAGUGUAGUGGUUACUGCUGUCUACCCUAGUGUAGUGGUUACUGCUGUCUACCCUAGUGUAGUGGUUACUGCUGUCUGCUCUAGUGUAGUGGUUACUGCUGUCUGCCCUAGUGUAGUGGUUACAGUGAGCUGUGUGUUGGGUAUAGAGACAUAUUACCAUGGGUUAUAGUGGGCUUUGUGUUGUGUAUAGAGACAUAUUAACAUGGGUUAUAGUGGGCUGUGUGUCGGGUAUAGAGACGUAUUACCAUGGGUUAUUGUGGGCUGUGUGUUGGGUAUAGAGACAUAUUUCCAUGUGUUAUAAUGGGCUGUGUGUUGGGUAUAGAGACAUAUUACAAUGGGUUAUAGUGGGCUGUGUGUUGGUUAUAGAGACAUAUUACCAAGGUUUAUAGUGGGAUGUGUGUUAGGUAUAGAGACAUAUUACCAAGGGUUAUAGUGGGCUGUCAGUCGGGUAUAGAGACAUAUUACCAUGGGUUAUAGUGGGCUGUGUGUUGGGUAUAGAGACAUAUUACCAUGGGUUAUAGUGGGCUGUGUGUCAGGUAUAGAGACAUAUUACCAUGGGUUAUAGUGGGCUGUGUGUUGGGUAUAGAGACAUAUUUCCAUGGGUUAUAGUGGGCUGUGUGUUAGGUUUAGAGACAUAUUACCAUGGGUUAUAGUGGGCUGUGUGUUAGGUAUAGAGACAUAUUACCAAGGGUUAUAGUGGGCUGUGUGUUGGGUAUAGAGACAUAUUACCAUGGGUUAUAGUGGGCUGUGUAUUGGGUAUAGAGACAUAUUACCAUGGGUUAUAGUGGGCUGUGUGUUGGGUAUAGAGCCA
This 1289-nucleotide long non-coding RNA is filed under the name Salmo salar (Atlantic salmon). Its description in RNAcentral is "lncRNA (ENSSSAG00000088822.1)". The record is from RNAcentral. Lineage: Eukaryota; Metazoa; Chordata; Actinopteri; Salmoniformes; Salmonidae.